AUACUGAGGGUGCAAGCGUUAAUCGGAAUUACUGGGCGUAAAGCGCGCGUAGGCGGUUUAUUAAGUCAGAUGUGAAAGCCCUGGGCUUAACCUGGGAACUGCAUUUGAGACUGGUAGGCUAGAGUAUGGUAGAGGAUAGUGGAAUUCCGGGCGUAGCGGUGAAAUGCGUAGAUAUCCGGAGGAACAUCAGUGGCGAAGGCGGCUAUCUGGACCAAUACUGACGCUGAGGUGCGAAAGCGUGGGGAGCAAACAGGAUUAGAAACCCUAGUAGUCC
Molecule: ribosomal RNA, 274 nt
Filed under: uncultured bacterium
Lineage: Bacteria
Description: partial 16S ribosomal RNA
Rfam family: Bacterial small subunit ribosomal RNA
Source: RNAcentral